RNAcentral lists this ribosomal RNA (400 nucleotides) under uncultured Paracoccaceae bacterium. RNAcentral's name for it is "bacterial SSU rRNA". It matches the Rfam family "Bacterial small subunit ribosomal RNA", at positions 29 to 458 of the family's 1533-position model. The record is from RNAcentral. Lineage: Bacteria; Pseudomonadati; Pseudomonadota; Alphaproteobacteria; Rhodobacterales; Paracoccaceae.
AACGAACGCUGGCGGCAGGCCUAACACAUGCAAGUCGAGCGAGGGGUAACCCUAGCGGCGGACGGGUGAGUAACGCGUGGGAACGUACCCUUUGGUUCGGAAUAGCCCUGGGAAACUGGGAGUAAUACCGGAUACGGUCGAGAGACGAAAGAUUUAUCGCCGAAGGAUCGGCCCGCGUUGGAUUAGGUAGUUGGUGGGGUAAUGGCCUACCAAGCCGACGAUCCAUAGCUGGUUUGAGAGGAUGAUCAGCCACACUGGGACUGAGACACGGCCCAGACUCCUACGGGAGGCAGCAGUGGGGAAUCUUAGACAAUGGGCGCAAGCCUGAUCUAGCCAUGCCGCGUGAUCGAUGAAGGCCUUAGGGUUGUAAAGAUCUUUCAGUGGGGAAGAUAAUGACUGU